UCUCUCCACAGGACACGUAACACCUCUGGAAUUCAGCAAGAGGAGACGCAGGCACAGCCAGGCACUCGUGUGCUGGUACACACGUGUAUGGCCACCCCUGCACAGCUCUGCCAAGGGUGGCACCUCUCCACCAGCGAGGUCUGCCACUGCCUACACCUGCCAGCUGCCAGCCCUGCCCACUGCAAACCACCUGAGGAGCUGUGCUGCUACAACAUUGCUGCUGGCAAAAAAAAAAAGGGGGGUUUGGUUAGGAAAAACAAGAAUGUAUAGGCUGCCAGCUUGUGAAUCUGCAUGCUGUCAGCAUUGGUAGGGAGCAAGUUUGUCAUUCCACAUGGGGAAAACAGACUUCUGCAAGAAGGAUGUCAUGAGGGGAGUCAGAAGUCACUGACCAAAUUGUGUUACACUGCACUUUUGUGUCUGUGCCUUCACUGUUUUGUUUCACACACCUGGCCUCUAUGGCCACUGAAUCCAUGGGAAAUAGAGUAUCCAAAAGAAAGCAGCAACAGGAAAAAUUGACACCAAAAGCAUGAGUGAUCCCAGAGGAAAAUUGAGGAUACGGAUACACCAUUGCCCUGGAAAGAAAUAAAUACCCUUUUAAAGAGAGGAAUGAUGUAAAGGCUGUGUUGUCUGAGUGUAAACAAGCUGACUUGGAGGGUACCUGCCCUGGUGUGGAGACAGCAUAAAUCCUGCCCCUCGACGUCUGCACAGCUGAGGGCUCUCAAAGCUCCUACACCAGGAACAUACACUGGACACAGAGAUAAACGGGUUCUGUGAAUUUCAUGUAGGCAAAGUAAACCUCCUUGGGAGUUGACACGCCAAGCGGCUGCCCUCAGAGUGGUCAGAACUGGCACAGGAUUUCUUUGUGCUCUCCCUGCUCAGUGUUCCUGAUGCUGCUGGGAUCCUGCUCUGGAUCCAUUCCAGAGGAGCAGCAAGGUGGUGCCGGCCCUGCCAGGAGUGCUGGUGCUGAGCUGUGCAGACCUGGCCCCUGGUCCUGCUGCCCAGGCUGCCAGUGGGAGCCCUGCCUCCAACCCACCUUGGGUCUGCUGGGAAAGCUGAGCCUCUUGGCAAGCCACCUUGCACGCCUAGCUGAAAAUAGCGCUGUUUUUGCCAAAACAUACACUCAGGGCUUGGAUUCAACAAUGCUGCAUCAGCAGCUCGUAAUCAAGUUGACACGGGCUGAUUGUUUAUUGUAAGAGACGGGGGAAAUCGUGAUUUGACCGGAUUCAGUAAAAACCAAAUAAACCGGAGGAGAGGAGCUGGGUUUAUUUGCACGAGACAGGAAAUCUUUUCAGUGGACUUGUGACAACUCAGGCCUUGACCUGCUGUCUCUUCUGCAUGCAGCCAGGAUGGUGGGGUGGUCUGUGAACUUGGGAAGGGCUGGAGUGAAGUCUGAGCAGGAUGCGAGGGAGGAACAGAGCACUUAUUUGUGCAGCGCAAGGCGGGUCCCUCCUCUCCUGAAGGGCAGAUGCCAGCAUUGGUGAUGUGGGGACCUGUUUUCCAGAGCAGCUGAGCUAUCAACCCUUCCUGGUCCUGAGCUCCUGAGCACCAUGACUGAAAAUCUCAUGGCCUGUGACAUCUGAAGGUGACACAGGGGAGGAAGGGCUGCUGCCCUCAAGCUUUCCACCUACAAGAAUGCCCUGUAGUAGAUGAGACCUCCUGGAGAAGAGCAGCACCUACUCUGAGAAGCAGUGGCAAGAGGCAUCUGGUAAUCAUCAUGGAAGCAGGGUGGAAGAGGGGAAUUACACACAGACUGCAGCCCAAACCAGGAACCAGGGCAGGGCUGGGAGGCAUUCACACCCUUCCCCAGAGCAAGGCUGCCUCAGUCUGUGGCAGUGGUUUCCUCAGCAGUCCCCAGCAUGGUCCUGGGUUUUUCUGUGCCUUCUACAGCUGUCUGCUGCUAAUGUAAAUACCAGGUUGCUCCAGGGCAGGGAGACAGCAGAGUCCAGACCCUGGGGGCGGCUGUACCUGAUCUCACUGUUGUGCCAUUUCCAGCACCCAGCUCUGUGACACCAAGCCAAAGGUGGCUGAGGGCUUUUCAUCUGCCUCAGAGGAAUGUGUUCUUUACCUUAUCGGUUGAGCCUCAGGGGCUCCUCCUCUACCAUGAUUAGCUUAAUAACACCAUCUCAAAGUGCCUCCUGCAUGAUGUCACCCUUCACAGGUUUAGCUUUGAGCCAGGAGGGACCCUGCCCCGUGCUGACCCUCCCAGAAUGACAGCAUCAUGUGCAAGCAACCUCCCAGCUCCCAUUUGAGAAUGGGGCACAGGGGCUGUCUUUGCUUCUCACUCCACAAGUGCAUUGGGAAGCAACUAGUGGUGAUUCACAGUCCAGAGCAUUUCUGCAGUGGUGGCUCUCAGCUGCUCUUGUCGCACAGAAAAUGGAAAUUUUUGCACCUAGCUUCAGCCAGGAAAGCUUGGUCAGACUCCCAAGGAAGGAAUAUUGCUCCUAAGGCACCUUUCAGCCUCUGGCUGUCCUCAUGAAGGCAGAGGAAGGAGCAGAAAUCUGCACAUGACUUCCCUUCAUCAGGCAAGGCUGCCUUGAAGGUCACCUCAAGCACCCCUGCGCCCUGCCACCAUGUGGAUAUAAAUCAAGCCAGUGGGUGUUUCUAGAGCCAAGAUCAGAGUGAAUCAAAGAUUAUUCCUCCCACUGCCAUGGCAAUAUAAAUUAACUCGUGGAGCAGAGGGCUAAGACAACCUUAAAGCUGAGCUGGUACCUACCUGACAGACACCACUGAGCUGCAGCAACGAGGUCACAGUCAGCAAUGCCACAAGCUCUCAGUGGCACUUGGGUGGCAAUGGUCCACCCCAAGAGCUGGGGCUCAACACCUGCAGUCUGAGGCGGACAUAUGGAUAUAUUGCUCAGAUAUGGAUAUCCAGGAGCGUGAGCAGCCACCUUGAGGAGGCGAUAAACUGCUCAUAAAAUGGCAACAUCCCAUGUAGGUUUCAAACUUGCUACUCUUAAGUUCAUCCUUGUUUUUCUCGGCUUAGUUAAAAAAUUGGAAAAGCUCAAAACUGUUUGCAGACUCUGGGAGUAGCACGGUGUUGGUGCUGAGCUCCAGAAAGUGCUUUUUGGUUUGCUAUUAAUAGAACCUCUCCUCAUUAAAUUAAUGAAAAAUAUCACUGAAAACAAAACAGCUUCAUUUUUAUCACAUAAUCUUGGGAGGGAAAACAACUUCUUAGGUGCUGAUGACAUUUGACACAGCUUGUUCUAUAUAGCCACCAAAACACUGCAAAACAACCUUUCCCAAGGAUAUCACCUGACACAAGCCUUCAAGGCCUUGGCAUCUGGAUCUCAGUUCUGAAAUCGGACUCCUAUCUGUGUGUGGUUCCAUGGAAAACUUCUGUCACUGUCUUCCAGAUGCCAGCUAAAGCCUGCAUGUUGCAAAGAAGGAGAUAAACCAUUCUGGAACUUUUGUCCAAGUCUGUCAGCUCAGUCACUUGUGGAUCUACCAUUCUGUGCCAGUGAGAAACAUGCCUGUCCCUGGUAGGACCAACCCAAGCCCCAUGAUGUAGGCAGGCAGCACAAAGAAAUUAAAUAAAAGAAUACUUUGCACUCAUAAAAGAGGAUCAGAUGUUUUAAGGUGUGAUACCUGCCCAAAAUGCCAGAUUUUGGAAGAGUCAGUCAUCCCAAGGCCAAGUUAAACAGGAUGCAAUCAAAGCUGAGUGGCUGCCCAGGGACAGGCUGGGUUUAUGAAUGACACUGGAGGUGGAACCUCCCUGAGUCACCAGCUUGUCUUGUUUAAAUUGGCCACAUCUAUGGAUAACCCCUUGUACCUUGGCUCUCUUCAGCAGUUUCACACCUUUAAACAACUGCCUUUCUUUCAUUAACUCGUUCUCUUAACUUUGCUCCAGAUUAAAUGGUUUUGGUGUGAUGCAUUUUCUCUUCUUUCAAUUUCAGGCAAACCUAUAUAGUGAAAAGACUUUACUCACCAGCUUUCUACCUUGUGAUGAUUAAAGCCAGUAAAGCAUCCUGGCACAAUGCAAGUAGGAAAAAUGUUUGCACUGAGAGCAGACACUUCAUCCACUAUUGUACCUUUGGUUUACAGCUCACAUACCAGAACCUGCAGACAUCUGGAAACCUGUGUUUUCUGAACUCAAUUGCCAAUAGGCCUCAACACACCACAGGCACGUCCAUACCCUCCAUUUUCAUCUGCACCACUUGUGAGUAAGUGCAGUCUCACACAUCCCUAGGAAUGGCAAGGCACACCACUCGUUUCCCCCUUCCCAGCUCCCUUUAAACAGAGAGACAGCAUGUGCAGCAGGGUCACCAACACAGCCCUGGGUAUGAACUCAUAAAUGUUCCUCAGCAGGGAAGCCCAGGCUUUCAAGAAAGACUUAGGGACUUUCUUCUGAUCUCAGGGCAUAUUUUUAAGCAGUUUCUCAAGGAUGGCUUUCCCCAUACAUUGGUCUUACCUCACCACACUACAACUCCAUGGGCUGUGACAGCAGCCUGAGUGCACACUCUGGUUGCCCAGCUCCAGGACCAAGUGUAAAAGGAGCAUGGAGCAUGGCAGAUCUUUAACACAUUGUUAGCUCCUGGAUCCACUCCUUCAAGGACCUGCAUGUCUUCAGUGUGACUCCCAGCUCCUGUUGUCCAUGGUCCUUUUCCAGUGUGAUGACCCUGAGAGCAAGGUGCAGCUACCAGGACAGUGGGAGCAUUGGGUAUCCAUAUCCACACCCCUCUUCAUCUUUGCAGACUCAGGGAGGGGGAGGAAAUGAGAUGCUCCCCCUCACCCUCACGGUGUUGUUGUCACAAGGCUGUGCCAUCAUGGCUAUGUUGCCCUGCCUGCUUGGAUAGAACUUCACUUCUGUUGGGAAGCUGGCAGUGCUGGCUCCUGAGGCAGAAUGGCCAGGCAGCUGCCAUGCAUGGUAGGGCACAAAAGGCCUCCAUGCAUUUCAGAUGGGUUGCCUUCAGAUUUCACUGUGGAACUGCUUCACGUGGUUUGGAACUUCUAGAGAACUUAUUCCUGCAUUAGAUUGUGAUCACAAAAUUUUGCAAGCAAGCUGCCCCUUUAACCUCACAGCAGGUAGAACGCUAUAUUUGGGGGUGUUUUGUUUGUGUAUACUUGCACCACACUGCACACAGAAGUUCUAAUCAAAGCCGAGGAAUUUUGUCCCUCAAAAGUCUCUUUGCCAGAGACUUUGGUACUGCUCCGGAUUUGAAAACUGUUCUAAUCAAGAAAAAAAUUAAGUCAGAAGGAUAGGAUGAGUAAUCAUUCCUGGGCAAGCAGACCUGCAGCAGCACACAGAAAGAAAGCACACUCCUUACACACCUACUGCUCCUGACUACACAGCCCCAACAGGAGCAGCCAGGCUGGCUAGGCCACCUCUCACCACAGGAACCCAGCUGAAACUCAUCAGUUACACAGCUGCUCCUCAUCUUGCCCACCUCCCAGUCCAGAUGUUCAGGGCACUGGACACUUGGAGCACCCUCCCUAAAGGGCGUUUCUGCUACACAGUCAGGGUGCAGCCCUCAAAAGCCUUUGGAUGGAAGAUGUUCCAGGAAAAUGGAUAGAAAUGGCAAAGAAUAUUUAUUUGCUUGGUUGCCUUUGAGAAUUUCUGAGAGGAACAAGAUCCUGCUGUGCUAGGUGAUGCACUUGAAUAACAAACCAGCAAUUUCCAUUUUGUCCUUUCCCAGGAACAACAAUUAGAGCAGGUCUUCCACAGUAAUUUCCCUGCCUUGUUUGAAAUACAGAUAUGCUGGCUUCCCUUUGCACAGAAAAAUUCUGUUUGUGUCUCUAUUUCAAUGAUGAUUUUGUCCAUUUAUGCCUCUACUUAUUAUUCAAUAUAGAAAGAGAAAAAAUCAAUCAUUCUUUCUACCUAUCUGACUGACUGCACUAAGAUAAAAUGUUGCACAAGUAAAGAUAUUAAAAAUGAUUUAACUUACUACAGGAAAAUAAUUGCAGAAUUCAACUGAGAUUAAUAGAACAAAAUAAGCUUAUCUGGGAUUUCUUUUGCAUUUUGUAGGAAAAGCAACUUAUUAUUUAUGAUGUAUGUGCUGUGAUCUCAAUGAACCUUUUUUCUGUG
Long non-coding RNA from Haemorhous mexicanus (house finch), 6022 nucleotides. RefSeq lists it as uncharacterized. The record is from RefSeq and is a predicted model, not a curated record. The transcript is spliced from 2 exons. NCBI's taxonomy places the organism in Eukaryota, Metazoa, Chordata, Aves, Passeriformes, Fringillidae.